ACAGAGCUUAGCUGAUUGGUGAACAGUGAUUGAUUUCCUCUUUGUUCACAGUGGCUAAGUUCUGCACCUG
Molecule: microRNA precursor, 70 nt
Filed under: Cyprinodon variegatus (sheepshead minnow)
Lineage: Eukaryota; Metazoa; Chordata; Actinopteri; Cyprinodontiformes; Cyprinodontidae
Description: Danio rerio miR-27b stem-loop (ENSCVAG00000011691.1)
Rfam family: mir-27 microRNA precursor family
Source: RNAcentral